GUUUGGGGAAUUUUAUUUAUUACUGCUAAUAAUAAUUUGGGCAUUAGUGUGCCCGUUCC
RNAcentral lists this transfer RNA (59 nucleotides) under Neomazocraes dorosomatis. RNAcentral's name for it is "tRNA-Ser". The record is from RNAcentral. Lineage: Eukaryota; Metazoa; Platyhelminthes; Monogenea; Mazocraeidea; Mazocraeidae.